GCGUCGUCUUAUUACGACAUGCCAGCUUUAUGCAGUACCUUUCACAAAGUGCACGGCCGGUUUAUCGGAGUUAACUCGGUUACUCAGUCACCUUUCGAGGACAAUAUUUAUUCGAUCCGUUUUGCUCUCGGUUUCUUGAGCUUUCUUUUGUUGCAAAUGACUUGUCUGAAUUUGUAUUUCGUUAAUUUAAGUAAGUUACACUAAUUUAAUUUGAUUUCUCAAGUGCAUGCGCGAAACUGUUAAUUAUUUGAUAACAAUUCACUGUUAUAAGUGUGUGUCUACGUGUAAUUCGUUGACUUUUUACUAUUAAUGGUGAAGUCUUCAAAUGUUUUCUCUCUCCUUAACAUUAUAAUCCCGAAUGAAUACAUAUUACAGCAUACAGAUUGCAGCUACUAAUACUUCUGGGACUACCAGAUCCUUGGCUAAAUCCACAACAAUAUUGACCCAUUUCAAAGAUGCUCUCCAGUUUAACACCGUUUUUCGUGACUGAAAACUGUUUGCCGUAUUUGGGUGUGCACAUCGUAAAGGAACUAAUCCACGGAAUUAGGGGAUGAUACUUCGAAAGAUUUUGAUCUUUUAAAUUUACAGGGGGCACAUCACAAAAGAACUAAUCACAGGAAUGAGGGAAUGACAUUUCAAGGAACGGGAGCACAUCACAAAGGAACUAAUCCAAGGAAUGAGGGGAUGAUACUUCAAGAUCUUCUUCAAGAAAUGAUGAAGUGACUUUUCAAGGAAUGAUACGUCUUCCAGUCCAGUCAGCGAACAGGAACGACAUUUGCAAUCGACCAACUUUUAGAUCACGUGGACUUCAAAGAGAGUAAGGACUUCAAACCAACUUCAGGACCAUUUUUCUUCUCAAAGGACAGCAUUCAUAGCGGGAUUAUCUUCGUCAACAUCAAGGAGCCGUUUCUACUAGUGGGUUAACAUUAGGAACAACAGGACAUUAAGAAGAGUUUAGGAACAACAUCGCUUUCGUCGGCAACAGGGGACCAUUUCUAACGGGUGCAAAUAGCUCCCAAGGGUAAGAGUCAUCGUACAAUGGCUGGUACAUCUUCCAAUGGUAAGGAACCCCUUUCAACAACGACGAUCGUCACUGGUAGGUAAGACUUAUCCCUUCCCAAUCAGGAACACCGUCAAGGGGUUUGAAGGUAACCCUCUCUGCAGAGGUGGCACUUGUACCACAUCAUCUGCAGAUAUGGUUAUCUUUAAACAACUUGAUGUUGAUUCUUGUUUGACAAGGCAUAAGUCGAGCCUGUGAAUGACGAUCUAAGUUGUUGUAAGGUACUCCUAACCACUUGGAGGAUGUUUCUGGUCAUUGAAAGGUGGCAAUUACCACUUGGGGGGUAUUUAAUCCUGCUAAAAAUGGUCCCGCGCUCGAACAGGGGACCCUUGUCCCCCACGGUCUUCGAAUUACAAAAACGCCCAACGCAGGGAUGCACGACUCGAAAGCACGACUCGAAAAAAUGAAAAAAUUGUUAUUUUUAAUAUUUAAUACUUAUUUAUUAAUUAUAAAUACAUAUACACCC
Molecule: long non-coding RNA, 1526 nt
Organism: Agrilus planipennis (emerald ash borer)
Lineage: Eukaryota; Metazoa; Arthropoda; Insecta; Coleoptera; Buprestidae
Exons: 10
Source: RefSeq, a predicted model, not a curated record